GGUUCCGUGGUGUAGUUGGUUAUCACAACAGUCUAACACACUGUAGGUCUCCGGUUCGAUCCCGGACGGAACCA
This 74-nucleotide transfer RNA is filed under the name Blyttiomyces helicus. RNAcentral's name for it is "tRNA-Val". Lineage: Eukaryota; Fungi; Chytridiomycota; Chytridiomycetes. The record is from RNAcentral.